This 893-nucleotide ribosomal RNA is filed under the name uncultured bacterium. RNAcentral describes it as "bacterial SSU rRNA". It matches the Rfam family "Bacterial small subunit ribosomal RNA", at positions 8 to 916 of the family's 1533-position model. The record is from RNAcentral.
AGAGUUUGAUCCCGGCUCAGGGUUAACGCUGGCGGCGUGCCUAACACAUGCAAGUCGAACGGUUCUAAGCGCGAGCUUAGGAUAGUGGCGAACGGGUGAGUAAAAGGUAGGAAUCUACCCCUUGGACGGAGAUAGCUACUGGAAACGGUAGGUAAACUUCGAUAAGCCCGAGAGGGGAAAGUGGUGAGACAGCCGAGGGAUGAGCCUACUCUCCAUCAGGUAGUUGGUGAGAUAAAAGCUUACCAAGCCGAUGACGGAUAACCGGUGUGAGAGCAUGAACGGUCACAAGGGCACUGAGAGACGGGCCCUACUCCUACGGGAGGCAGCAGUGGGGAAUCUUGGACAAUGGGCGAAAGCCUGAUCCAGCGACGCCGCGUGGAGGAAGAAGUCCUUCGGGAUGUAAACUUCUGAACUGGCCGAAUAAAAGGCCUGUGGACACACAGGAGAAGAAAGUAGGCUAGGAAAAGUCCCGGCUAACUACGUGCCAGCAGCCGCGGUAAGACGUAGGGGGCAAGCGUUACCCGGAAUUACUGGGCGUAAAGGGGGCGUAGGCGGUAAAAGAAGUCAUCUGUGAAAACCUAUUGCUCAACGAUAGGCUAGCGGAUGAAACUGAAUUACUUGAGGGCACCAGAGGUAGACGGAAUUACCCGAGUAGGGGUGAAAUCCGCAGAUACGGGUAGGAACGCCGGUGGAGAAGUCGGUCUACUGGGGUGCACCAGACGCUGAGGCCCGAAAGCUAGGGGAGCAAACCGGAUUAGAUACCCGGGUAGUCCUAGCCGUAAACGAUGCUCACUAGGUGUAGGGAGUGAUAAACUCUCUGUGCUGAAGCGAACGCGCUAAGUGAGCCGCCUGGGGAGUACGUCCGCAAGGAUGAAACUCAAAUGAAUUGACGG